GCAUCGGUGGUUUAGUGGUAAAAUUAGCCGUUGCCAAGAGUAUUAAUUUGCCUCAGCUACAUCGGCUAGCCCCGGGUUCGAUUCCCGGCCGAUGCA
This is a non-coding RNA of Phaeosphaeria sp. MPI-PUGE-AT-0046c, 96 nucleotides long. Lineage: Eukaryota; Fungi; Ascomycota; Dothideomycetes; Pleosporales; Phaeosphaeriaceae. The record is from the annotation of a GenBank genome assembly.